GAUGAAGAACGCAGCGAAAUGCGAUAAGUAAUGUGAAUUGCAGAAUUCAGUGAAUCAUCGAAUCUUCGAACGCACAUUGCGCCCGCCAGUAUUCUGGCGGGCAUGCCUGUUCGAGCGUCAUUACAACCCUCAGGCCCCCGGGCCUGGCGUUGGGGAUCGGCGGAGCCCCCCGUGGGCACACGCCGUCCCCCAAAUGCAGUGGCGGUCCCGCCGCAGCUUCCAUCGCGUAGUAGCUAACACCUCGCGACUGGAGAGCGGCGCGGCCACGCCGUAAAACACCCAACUCUUCUGAAGUUGACCUCGAAUCAGGUAGGAUUACCCGCUGAACUUAAGCAUAUCAAUAAGCGGAGGA
RNAcentral lists this unclassified non-coding RNA (352 nucleotides) under soil metagenome. RNAcentral describes it as "partial contains 5.8S ribosomal RNA, internal transcribed spacer 2, and large subunit ribosomal RNA". The stretch from base 1 to 120 matches the Rfam family "5.8S ribosomal RNA", at positions 35 to 154 of the family's 154-position model. The record is from RNAcentral.